RNAcentral lists this ribosomal RNA (460 nucleotides) under uncultured bacterium. Its description in RNAcentral is "partial 16S ribosomal RNA". It matches the Rfam family "Bacterial small subunit ribosomal RNA", at positions 338 to 795 of the family's 1533-position model. The record is from RNAcentral.
CCUCCGGGCGGCAGCAGUGAGGAAUAUUGGUCAAUGGACGAGAGCCUGAACCAGCCAAGUAGCGUGAAGGAUGACUGCCCUAUGGGUUGUAAACUUCUUUUAUAUGGGAAUAAAAUGUUCCACGUGUGGGAUAUUGUAUGUACCAUAUGAAUAAGGAUCGGCUAACUCCGUGCCAGCAGCCGCGGUAAUACGGAGGAUCCGAGCGUUAUCCGGAUUUAUUGGGUUUAAAGGGAGCGUAGGUGGAUUGUUAAGUCAGUUGUGAAAGUUUGCGGCUCAACCGUAAAAUUGCAGUUGAAACUGGCAGUCUUGAGUACAGGAGAGGUGGGCGGAAUUCGUGGUGUAGCGGUGAAAUGCUUAGAUAUCACGAAGAACUCCGAUUGCGAAGGCAGUUCACUGGACUGCAACUGACACUGAGGCUCGAAAGUGUGGGUAUCAAACAGGAUUAGAUACCCUGGUAGUC